GGAAGUCUGAGGCGAAAUAGCUGCUCUCUGAAAUGGCUGCAUAAACAAGAUGGGAACAGCAGAAUCAUCAAUGGGAUAAGACCGUCCAAACACCAUCCUGGAAUCAGGACCAGCCAUGCUGCCGGCUCCUGAUACUGAACUUCCCAGCCUCCAGAUUUGUGAGUCUGUAUAUUUCAGGCAAAUGAUCCAGUUAGUGGCAUUCUGUUACAGACUAAAACAGAUAACG
Long non-coding RNA from Mastomys coucha (southern multimammate mouse), 226 nucleotides. RefSeq lists it as uncharacterized. NCBI's taxonomy places the organism in Eukaryota, Metazoa, Chordata, Mammalia, Rodentia, Muridae. The record is from RefSeq and is a predicted model, not a curated record. The transcript is spliced from 2 exons.